UUAAGACUCUGGGUGUACUUUAUGGACAAGAGCACAGCAAUGAUGUGCAGAGCAUAACAAGCACCCUGGGAGGCCUAUGGGUCAUAACAACCAAUUGGCCAAUCAACACAGGGCAAGCCCUCCAAGCCUGGAGGCACACCAAUCCUGAGCCUGUGCAUACCCCUAGACACUCCCCUUACGCUGCCCUACAAGAUUGCUCGGCAGUGGGUUCAAGGGGUCUUUGCUAGCUAACCACCAUGGCGGGUAGGUGAAAGACCCGUGCUAACACGGGGUUAGCUCGUUAAAAAAAAAAACAAUAAAGCCUCAUGCAGUUUACAUCAAGCUCUCGAAUCUGCCUGGUGAUUGGGGUGACCGAGGUCCUGGGCUGGGACCCCGGAGACCUGAGUUUUUCCGGGAGUCUAACAUUUGGGGGCUCGUCUGGGAUUUGCGACCACCCCUCAGCAGAGUGGAUUUGAUCUUGGAGGUAAGAUGAUUCAAGCUUGCAACUUAUAUGUUCAAUGUUAUGUUCAAUGUUCUGUAUGCCUGUUGCUGUUUUGUUGGUUUGGUGCCAUGACUUGAAUUUGAUCUGUACCUGCGCAGGACAUAUACUUUUAUUUACUUGCAUUUGGAAUUUGUAAUUUGGACCUCAGGGGGAAACAGACGUGUUGUUUAGACUCUGAAGUACGGCCCUGGACAAAAGUCCGAGGGUCGUUUGAUUUGGACCAUAGGGAAAGCAGACGUGCACAGAAACAGAAGUGUUUCUGGAACCCUUGGUUCUGCCCUGGACAAAAGUCCAAGGGUUGUUUGUAAUUUUGGUUUGGGGCACCAUUCCUCUGCCUCGAGGUUUGUCCUGUCUGAUGUCUGUCCUGUUUUUGCUGUUUGUGUCUGUCUCCGUACUAACCAUGCCCCCUCAGUCUGACUUUUGACCAUUGGAUGGACAUUAAGGACUAUAGUUAGUCAGUUAAAGUUCCGACACCCCCUUUCGUUGAGUCACAUGGCACCACAUUAGGUAACUUUCUUUUCCUGUCUUUGUUUCUGUAUGGUUUCUGUAUGCCUGGAGGGUUGGAACAGGCUGGGUGACUGAGCAGGUUUGUUAUCUGAUCUGUUGCAGUCCACGCCCUCACCGCCUGCUUGUGUGUCAGUUUUACUAUUUCUGUUAAUUUUGUGGAUGUGGAGGUCCUAUGUUGGAGUUUCUGGCGACAUCUGUGAGUAGGCCUACAAAAAUUGUUUAGGGCAGAGGUUCGGGCGGCAGCCUUCCGAAAUCUAUACGGGAGGCUUGGUUUCAGACCAAGUUGAUCUCCAUGGGGCUAGCCAUCUGAAAUUCCAAAUAGGACCCUAGUCUGUGUUAAACAUCUCUUUCUGUCCCUACUGCCCACACACAUGGCAUGCAUGGGUCAGGGGUCUUUUCUUGAUGCGGGGGGGGGUGUCUUUUUCCCACCCCUGCAUUGGCCGAGGGUCUGGGGUUACCAGCAGCACCCCCACCCCAGGUCUCUUCCCUGAGCAUGUGGAGCUCGGGCAGGUGAGCUAUCUCAUCUGAUUUGGAUGACAAAAAAAAAAAAAAAAAAAAAACACGGCCUUAAAGUUAUUAAAAACUAUGGAAAGGACUUCGAUAAAAAUUUUUAUGUUGACUGAGAAAUGAGAGAGAAUGUACUAAAGUGAAAGAAAAAAGGGAAAGAGAAAUUUGUCUAAGAAUAUCUAAGAAAAUCGGAGGAGUAAACAAACCAAGGGUAUAUAGAAAGUUAUAGAGGGUUAAAACAAGUCAUAGAAGGUCAGAGAAAAGAUUAUUAAAAGAGAAAAAUGUAAACUGUUAUGAUUUCUAAUUUACAAAUAAUAAAUUUUAAAAAAAUGGUAAUAUAAGUUAAAAUUUUAACCAUAUUAAGCUAAUUCUGUUUAAAAAGUCCUGUUUAUUUCUCAAGCGAUUUAUGUAUACUUGUUUUAAAAUAUUCUGUUUCCUGGCAUAACUAAGUUCUGUUACAAGCAUGUAGGUAAAACAAAUGGUGAGGUUCACUGCCAUUUUGUAGUCAGCCACGUGGCACAAAAUGACUGGUAGCCAUUUUGCUAAAGUUGAAAAAAGAUACUUAAACCGCCAUCUUGACUAAAGGUGACUGCAUGGAAAUUAGAGGUACCAUCUUAGAAACAAGUUUUUCAGUUAAGAUUUAAAAUGUUAAUGCUUCUACAUAUUACAGAAAGACAUUAAGGGAAUUUAAGUUUCUUUUAAAAACCAGUUUUUUAAAUGUUUAUUUUUUAAAUGUCUUUUUAUUAAUGUUUAUACUUAAAGAGCUUCAAUUUAGAAUCAUUUUUAAGCAAAGCCUGACAAUGUAAAGUUCUUGUCUUAUAAAAGAUGCUAAUCUACUAUAAGAUGUUACAGUUUUUGUUUUCAGAAGUUAAGUUUAGGGCAUUGGUGGCACAUGCCUUUAAUCCCAGCACUCGAGUAUGAGACCAGCCUGGACUACAAGAGCUAGUUGCAGGACAGCCUCCAAAGCCACAGAAAAACCCUGUCUCAGAAAGAAGUUAAGUUUAAACAAAGCAGCUAAAAUGUGUACAUGUAGCUACUGUUUAAGGACUAUAAGUUUAUAAUAUCAGACAGACUGCCAGAUCCUGACAGUGACACAAAGUCUCCAAAGAAGAUUAUGAGGCACUCCAGUUCCUGCACCUGGACCAGUGAGCGAGAUGCUCAGAUGUGAUACCUGCCACCUGCCAGGACCUGGCCGAGACUGUGGACAAAGCUGCUGGACACUGGAAAAUUGAUUGCACCCCUUUUGCCUAGACAAAACAAGACAUCGGAGUAUCAGUUGCUGACUACAGGCUGUUCUAAGUAGACUGCGAACCCUGGACUUGCUGUGGAUGUGAACCAGUCCAAUUGAUGUGGACAACCCCUGUCUCUGCAACAAAGUCUGCCAACAGCCACUGAUGGGUUUCCCAUUUCCCAAAUUCCUUUUUUUGCUUUUGACUAGCAUUUCAACCUUCUGGGGUCCCUAACUUCAUCCCAAAGUCAGCAGGAAGUAGCAUGAGAAAGAAUUCGCCACCCAUUUUCCCUGGUUAAAAUGCUAAGUCAGAAGGGACUCCCUUGCAUGGGGGCACUGGAGAGACAGCAAUUCCAUGAUUGGAAUUUCAAAAAAAAAAUGGGGGAAUGAAGGGACCAGGCCCCCAUUUUGGCAGCCAUGACAGUAACACGUGCUUGCUAUGACCUUGCCUUAGUCACUAGAGGUUAGGUGCCUGCUUCAUGACAAGGAACCAAUCAGAAGUUAGCUGGUGGCACUAUGCUUUACGACUCUGGGUGUGCUUUAUGGACAAGAGCACAGCAAUGAUGCGCAGAGCAUAGCAACCACCCUGGGAGGGCCUAUGGGCCAUUACAAUCAAUUGGCCAAUCAACACAGGGCAAGCCCUCCAAGCCUGGAGGCACACCAAUCCUGAGCCUGUGCGUACCCCUAGACACUCCCCUUACGCUGCCCUGCAAGAUCACUCCGCAGCCGGUUCAAGGGGUCUUUG
Molecule: long non-coding RNA, 3468 nt
Filed under: Cricetulus griseus (Chinese hamster)
Lineage: Eukaryota; Metazoa; Chordata; Mammalia; Rodentia; Cricetidae
Description: lncRNA (ENSCGRG00015043212.1)
Source: RNAcentral